RNAcentral lists this ribosomal RNA (270 nucleotides) under uncultured archaeon. RNAcentral describes it as "partial 16S ribosomal RNA". It matches the Rfam family "Archaeal small subunit ribosomal RNA", at positions 477 to 747 of the family's 1478-position model. The record is from RNAcentral.
CAGCACCUCAAGUGGUCAGGAUGAUUAUUGGGCCUAAAGCAUCCGUAGCCGGCGCUGUAAGUUUUCGGUUAAAUCUGUACGCUCAACGUACAGGCUGCCGGGAAUACUGCAGCGCUAGGGAGUGGGAGAGGUAGACGGUACUCGGUAGGAAGGGGUGAAAUCCUUUGAUCUAUUGAUGACCACCUGUGGCGAAGGCGGUCUACCAGAACACGUCCGACGGUGAGGGAUGAAAGCUGGGGGAGCAAACCGGAUUAGAUACCCGUGUAGUCC